UUGGAGGGCAAGUCUGGUGCCAGCAGCCGCGGUAAUUCCAGCUCCAAUAGCGUAUAUUAAAGUUGUUGCAGUUAAAAAGCUCGUAGUUGAAUUUCGGAAUCAAUUUGUUGGUCGUGCCUCGGUACGUACUGGUAUUAUUGGUUUCUACCUUCUGAAGAACCUUGAUGUCAUUAAUUUGGUGUCUUGGGGAAUCAGGACUGUUACUUUGAAAAAAUUAAAGUGUUUAAAGCAAGCAUACGCUUGAAUACAUUAGCAUGGAAUAAUGAAAUAGGACGUUUGAUUCUAUUUUGUUGGUUUCUAGGAUCGACGUAAUGAUUGAUAGGGAUAGUUGGGGGCAUUAGUAUUCAAUUGUCAGAGGUGAAAUUCUUGGAUUUAUUGAAGACUAACUACUGCGAAAGCAUUUGCCAAGGAUGUUUUCAUUAAUCAAGAACGAAAGUUAGGGGAUCGAAGACGAUCAGAUACCGUCGUAGUCUUAACCAUAAACUAUGCCGACUAGGGAUCGGAUGAUGUUAAUUUUUUAAUGACUCAUUCGGCGCCUUACGGGAAAC
RNAcentral lists this ribosomal RNA (548 nucleotides) under uncultured Glomus. RNAcentral's name for it is "SSU rRNA". It matches the Rfam family "Eukaryotic small subunit ribosomal RNA", at positions 548 to 1098 of the family's 1831-position model. The record is from RNAcentral. Lineage: Eukaryota; Fungi; Glomeromycota; Glomeromycetes; Glomerales; Glomeraceae.